UACGUAGGAACCGAGCGUUGUCCGGAUUUACUGGGCGUAAAGAGCGCGUAGGUGGUUUGUUAAGUCUCAUGUGUAAUCUCCCGGCUCAACUGGGAGGGGUCAUGGGAUACUGGCAGGCUUGAGGGUAGCAGAGGAAAGCGGAAUUCCCGGAGUAGUGGUGAAAUGCGUAGAUACCGGGAGGAACACCAGAGGCGAAGGCGGCUUUCUGGGCUAUACCUGACACUGAGGCGCGAAAGCGUGGGGAGCGAAC
RNAcentral lists this ribosomal RNA (250 nucleotides) under uncultured bacterium. RNAcentral's name for it is "partial 16S ribosomal RNA". It matches the Rfam family "Bacterial small subunit ribosomal RNA", at positions 524 to 773 of the family's 1533-position model. The record is from RNAcentral.